Molecule: long non-coding RNA, 773 nt
Organism: Magallana angulata
Lineage: Eukaryota; Metazoa; Mollusca; Bivalvia; Ostreida; Ostreidae
Exons: 5
Source: RefSeq, a predicted model, not a curated record
UUUACGUCAGUAGAAGCGGAAGAUGGCAUGAGAGCGAUUUUUAAAGUAGAAAACAAAGCAGAGAAAAUCAGGAGUAAUAAAGCCCAAUUAAAGACGCACACAACACAACAGGCGAUUGUUAUGGACAGGAAAAAAAGCAAACCUCGCAGGAUUGAAUGAUAAUAUGUAGGAUAAACUGAUUGGUCAACAUAAAUCAUCCAAACGCAUGCAGAUAUUGUAUAGUCAGAGUUUUUGAUAGCUGAGUGCUCAGUAUAAAGCAUGUUUCAACUGAGUAAAACUGCACACAAAGAUAUAUACACAAACUCUGGGUAUCAAAGGAUUUCAAAGUAAAUUGUCAAAAAAGAUAAUGUGCACUACAAUCUUAAGCCUAAGAGUGACUUAUUCUGAGGGAUUCAUUGGUCCAGACUUUUGCUAAAGGGACCAUAUAUUUCAAAGAAAAUUUAGUCUGCAACCAAGGAGAUACUGAAGAAUUACACUGAAAUAUUUAUUCUAAGAAGAUUCUGGCCAUCAUUCCAUUUCAGGACCAUGGACAGCAAGCAGAUAAACAAGAAAACAGGUCUAAAAACGUGAAAUUCUCCAGUUCUUAACAAGCGAUAGACAUUGAUUUUACUAAAUUUUCGUUUUGUAAUAUACACUUUAAUGAUUUUGGGUAUAUUUACUCAUGAUAUGACUUUCAUUGGUAUACAUGACAGUACUUAUACAUUUAUGAAAUCAAAUGUCCAACAAUUUGUAUAAUUCUUAAGAAGAAUAUAUGUAUCGACAAAUGUUAAUAA